Eucalyptus grandis is the source of this 337-nucleotide long non-coding RNA. RefSeq lists it as uncharacterized. The record is from RefSeq and is a predicted model, not a curated record. The transcript is spliced from 2 exons. NCBI's taxonomy places the organism in Eukaryota, Viridiplantae, Streptophyta, Magnoliopsida, Myrtales, Myrtaceae.
UCUCUCUCUCUUUCUCUUCCUCAAUCUCUUCUCUUCGUCUUCGAUUCCUCCCCUUGCGUCGACGCCGCCGCUGCCGCUCCUCCUCCGCCGCUGUCCACCCCCUCGAGCCGGUCGCCACCCACCACAGCCGCUGCUCCUCUACCUCUGCUGUCCGUCCCCUUGUUUUCUCUCGUUCUUCGCUCCCGCCUCGAGGCUCUGCUGCAGAUUAAAUGAAGAAAUGAAGGGCAUGGAAAGUCUAGCGACACAAUUGUAUCCUUGACUAGAUGGAAAAAGUCUUUAUCGUUGCUGCAGUGUUUGUCUUGAACACAUUUUUGUCCUGUGAACUUAGAAAUUUAUC